This is a long non-coding RNA of Triticum aestivum (bread wheat), 926 nucleotides long. RefSeq lists it as uncharacterized. The transcript has 2 exons. The record is from RefSeq and is a predicted model, not a curated record. Lineage: Eukaryota; Viridiplantae; Streptophyta; Magnoliopsida; Poales; Poaceae.
UCCAACGCCAUCCAUUCAAUUGAAAUCCGAUGCCUCACAAACUGAGUUGCUUUUGUAAAAAAGAAAACAUCAAUAGGGAAUUAACUGCCCAUAGCCCCGCCGUAAACCUCUCGCUAAUCUCUCUCUUAAUCUCUCCUAUUCCAGUUGCAGCCACACCGGCCCAAGCUCAUCCAGUUCCCACGCACCGCCCGGAGCUCCUCGCCCAGAUUUCCUUCUACCCCGCCUCGCACGCUGCUGCUUCCUGCUCUCCCCGCCGUCGAGCAGCACGGCCGCCCCGCCGGCCAGCUCCGCUCGCUGCUUCUCCAAACCACAUCAUCUUCUACACCUGUGCGACCCCCGGGCGACAACGCUGGUGCUCCAUCCUGGCGUGGAACGAUCCCUAUCCUCAUCUAUGAUUCCUGCUUUGCCAGGUCAAAUCAGGUCAUCGACGCCGCCUGGCUGACAUCCUAAUCAGUGGGACCGAGGAGUUCAAAGAUAAGGGGGCACAACAUGCAAAUGAGUCACGGCGGCAAGCAGGCGAAUCAGCAAUGGAAACUAGUGGCAAAACGUCCAUUGGUGAUGAAGACUACUGGUGCAAUGAGAACCUAGCUCAAGACAAUGGGCCUGCUUGCUUCCUAGCAAGCAACACGGCUGCUUCGUUAAGCUUCACGGAGCAAACAUGUAGCAAGUAGUAGGUAUUUUUUGCUUGGAAACAGGAAAUGACAUGCCUGCUUGUAAAUGUUCACGAAAGUGAACGAACAUGAAGCUAGUAGGAAGCAUGUAGCACCAAUGGCCAGCUUGAGGGGCCGCAUUGUCACAUCCCGUACAGAAGCAAGUAAGGAAACUAGUGGGAGAAUAUCCAAUUUGUAAGGAACGAUUCGAUGUAAAUUGUUUCUCAAAGAAGCAUAUUUGUUUGAAAAAAAAUUGAGCACAUUCAUAUGGAAGUA